ACCCCAGGACACUCGAAGGGCUCCUCUCCCUUCGUUUUAUUGCAGCGAUCCCACACUCUCCCAUUCCCAGCCCAACCCAUUUGGGUUCCCAAGGAGCGCGGUCCAGCCACCGGCUCAUCCACCACCCAGGUUCCAUGGGAAGAUUCCGCUUGACAAGACCCAAGCCAGCAGCCUGGUAGAACGCCCAGCUACUUGGAAACUCGGGCUCCGGGUUUCCCAGAGAAGCAUCCUCCUCGCGCCUGGCCCGGAGCCCUUUCCCACAGACCCACCUGCGUCUGGUCACCGUGAGGUCCGGGAGCCUUGCCCGUGUCCGUGCAGCUCUGAAUUCAAGGCCUGGCCGGCCCGCAGACUAAGCCGGCAGAGGACCAUGGGCAAGUUCUGUUGUGUUUUUGACUUCUCUGGGUUUCCGGCCUCACCUGCCCCCCGAACUUGCCAAGACUCCCCGUGGCUCGCUGAAGCUAAGCCCUGGAUCUCGUAGGGCCAGCAUGUGGUUGUUUCAAAUCUGGUCUGAAUCUGAUUCUCAACCCUACCUACUCUCUUCACCCUCUAGAUGCCAGCCGGAAGUAACCACUAACAGUUGGUCAUACAUACCCCAUGCGUUUCCAUUUGGGGCUCCAGUCCCUCUUGGGGAAUGUCAUUUCCUUCACCGACACCCGGCCAGACCCUCCUAGCCUUCAAAGCCCAAGCCUGAGUUCAUUGCCUCCAUGAGCACACCUGUCCCCCAUCCCACCUGGGCACGCUGGUUCCUCUCCACGUGACGCUCUCAACUCCUGUGCCCGCCUCCUGGGUUGCUUGCGCGCCUUUCUUAACUCACCCCGUGGAUCAUCACCAUGCUGAGGUCUCAUUCAUCUCUGCGUCCCCAUGUGUCCAGCACAGCACCUUGCGCCCGGGGCACCUGCUCAAUAAGUGUUGGACAUAAACUGUGGCCAAUGAUCAUCCCCCCAGCCCCCCGCCAAUCACUUCCCCACGCAUAUGUGCUUUGCAAAAGUACAAAUAGUUAUUUUAGCGUAAAAGUUGACGCCUGUGUGUUCCCGCCAGAUUCUUCUCGCGUGGGGUGCGGGUACCCCAAGUCUCCCGUGAAGGUGUAAGGUCCGUGGCUUCGAGGUUCGUUUUUAACAAGGGUGGAAGGCUUCGUCCCCCAUUUCGCGGCCUCCUCAUUUAGCUGUUGACCCACGCCGAAAAUAAGGAAGAGAACUCUGAAGGGAGAAGACAAACAAUGUAAGGCACUUUGAUACACGUGACCUGAUCGUCUGUCAUCUGGACCGAGUGGCAGCAGCCUCUGUAUAAAGGACCCGUAUCUGACUCAUCUUCUGAUCCCAGGACUGAGCACAGUCUGUCUGCUCCGCCUCAUGAGUGUUUUGAGAAAUUGAAAGGAAACCCCCGGAACCUCGGAAAGAGACCCUGUCUGAGGUCUCCCUUGUUGUUUCAUUAAUUCAGCAACAACGGAGCGAGCUGCCCAAAUUGACCUCAGGCUGCCAAGGCCUGAGGACCCAGUUCCCCGGGAGCCUCCCGGGUUUAAGAAAGAGGUAAAGCUGAGCUGGGUGGCUGUCUCCCACGUGGCCAAGAGGGGUAGCAGCCGUUUGGCUGGUGGUUGGGCCGGGACACGUGGUAUAUUUACAGCCACAGAUGCCCCCGGGGGUUCCGUAUCAGGAAGCCGUCUGCAAAGGGUCACCUCGACCUGUGGACUUAUCCUCGGACCUGCCGCUGUUGGCCUCCUAGUCCCUUCCCCGAGGUCUUUUCCUGAAUGUCUUGUACUUGCCCACAAAGCCUGGGGUCUGCGGCAGUAGGCUGGUUGCUGCCAUCUGGUGGACAAAAGAGGCCAUGGCCUUCCCAGGCUGGCCUGAAACCCGGGAGCUGAAAGGAACCUUUGACCACGGACCUUCCAGGACCCUGGGUGUCAAAGUUUUGCAGCCACGGAACACUUCCCUCAAACGACAGCAAGGACCAAGGUGACAAAUGCGCUGCUGUGGCUGUAGCAGGGGAAGGAGGGACUCGGAGCCCCACUGGACCUGCCGGACACUCCCCCAAGCUCAACUGGUAGAUUCACUUCCGCUGUCAUUGUAAGGAUGGGAGAGUGGAACCUUGAAGAUCAGAAGCUACUCGUGCAGGGGCGCCUGGGUGGCUCCGUCGGUUGCGCGUCCCAACUCUUGAUUUCGGCUCAGGUCAUGAUCUCACCGUUCAUGGGUUCAAGCCCCGAGCCGGGCUCUACACUGACAGCACGGAGCCUGCGUACGAUCUACUCUCUCCCUGGCUCUCUGCCCCUCCCCCAUUCAUGCAGGCACUCUCUCUUUCUCGAAAAUAAAGAAAUAAACAUAAAAAAACAAAGAAGCUACUUGUGCAGACAGUGGCAUAGCAGACUAAAACACAGGGCCCUUGUGCCAAACAUGCUUUGGCAUUUGCCCGGCCAAGCUGCACCGUCAACCUCAAACAAGGGCCCCACACGGCUUCCUGAGUGCUCAGCCAAGCCGCCUGUUCCAAGACAUCUAGGCUCCUGGGGAGGAGAAGCCCAGAACCCAAUUCUUCCUGCAUCUUCUUGUUUGAAUCAAACCGGGGUUGGACCCAUGAUGAUCCCUAUGUCCCCUUCUCCAUAGCCAGCAUGGAAUCAGGGCACAGAGAUGCCCAUUGCUGUCUCCGGAUUCCAAAGAAGCUUCCUGUUCCCUGACAUUGGGAGAGCCAGGCAGCCCCCUAGAACACAAAUAGGAAAGGCAACAAGAAUAGUUUGAGCAUCUGUGCUCAGAGCUCUGUGCAAAGCAUUUUCACGUCCGCCAUUUCAUUUACUCCUCAACAACACUGCAGUGUGGAUAUUCAUUUCCUCAGGGUUUUUUUUCAUAUUUUACUUAUUUAUAUAUUUAAGUAAUGUCUACACCUAACAC
Long non-coding RNA from Felis catus (domestic cat), 2873 nucleotides. RefSeq lists it as uncharacterized. The record is from RefSeq and is a predicted model, not a curated record. The transcript has 3 exons. Lineage: Eukaryota; Metazoa; Chordata; Mammalia; Carnivora; Felidae.